GCUGAAUGUGGGGAUAAUUUAUCUCCGUGUUGAAGCUAACGCGUUAAGCACUCCGCCUGGGGACUACGGUCGCAAGACUAAAACUCAAAGGAAUUGACGGGGACCCGCACAAGCGGUGGAGCAUGUGGUUUAAUUCGAUGCAACGCGAAAAACCUUACCACUCCUUGACAUGGAGAUUAGAUCCUUCUUAACGGAAGGGCGCAGUUCGGCUGGGUCUCGCACAGGUGCUGCAUGGCUGUCGUCAGCUCGUGUCGUGAGAUGUUGGGUUAAGUCCCGCAACGAGCGUAACCCUCAUCCUUAGUUGCCAGCGGAUAAUGCCGGGUACUUUAAGGAAACUGCCGGUGGUAAACCGGAGGAAGGUGGGGAUGAUGUCAAGUCAGCACGGCCCUUAUGGGGUGGGCUACACACGUGCUACAAUGGUGACUACAAUAGGUUGCAACGCCGCAAGGCUGAGCUAAUCCAUAAAAGUCAUCUCAGUUCGGAUUGUCCUCUGUAACUCGAGGGCAUGAAGUCGGAAUCGCUAGUAAUCGUGGAUCAGCAUGCCACGGUGAAUACGUUCUCGGGUCUUGUACACACUGCCCGUCACGCCAUGGGAAUUGGCUUAACUCGAAGCUGGUGCGCUAACCGAAAGGAAGCAGCCAU
Molecule: ribosomal RNA, 642 nt
Filed under: uncultured Anaplasma sp.
Lineage: Bacteria; Pseudomonadati; Pseudomonadota; Alphaproteobacteria; Rickettsiales; Anaplasmataceae
Description: bacterial SSU rRNA
Rfam family: Bacterial small subunit ribosomal RNA
Source: RNAcentral